Molecule: ribosomal RNA, 95 nt
Filed under: Jaculus jaculus (lesser Egyptian jerboa)
Lineage: Eukaryota; Metazoa; Chordata; Mammalia; Rodentia; Dipodidae
Source: RNAcentral
UGUUUCACCCAUACCACCCUGAACAUGCCUGGUCUCUUCUGACCUUAGAAGCUAAGCAGGGGCAGGUCUGGUUUGCUCUCUGAUAGGCAAAAUUU